This is a non-coding RNA of Picea glauca (white spruce), 121 nucleotides long. The record is from Rfam. Lineage: Eukaryota; Viridiplantae; Streptophyta; Pinopsida; Pinales; Pinaceae.
AAUGCAAUUCUUACAAUGUUAAUAUUCACCAGAUCCCAUUAUAACUCCUCAGUUAAGUGCACUUUGGCUAGAUUAGUACUGGGAUGGGUGACCUCCCAAGAAUUCCUAGUUUUUUACAUGC